Molecule: unclassified non-coding RNA, 20 nt
Filed under: Mus musculus (house mouse)
Lineage: Eukaryota; Metazoa; Chordata; Mammalia; Rodentia; Muridae
Description: oocyte_clustered_small_RNA7994
Source: RNAcentral
CUACACAUAGUGUUUCUCUG